GAUGAACGCUGGCGGCGUGCUUAACACAUGCAAGUCGAGCGAGUGAGUUCUUCGGAACGAUCUAGCGGCGGACGGGUGAGUAACACGUGGGCGACCUGCCUCAUGGAGGGGAAUAGCCUCCCGAAAGGGAGAUUAAUACCGCAUAAAAUUAUCGAGUGGCAUCACAUGAUAAUCAAAGGAGUAAUCCGCUAUGAGAUGGGCCCGCGGCGCAUUAGCUAGUUGGUGAGGUAACGGCUCACCAAGGCGACGAUGCGUAGCCGACCUGAGAGGGUGAUCGGCCACAUGGGGACUGAGAAACGGCCCAGACUCCUACGGGAGGCAGCAGAGGGGAAUAUUGCACAAUGGGGGAAACCUUGAUGCAGCGACGCCGCGUGAGUGAUGAAGGUCUUCGGAUUGUAAAGCUCUGUCUUUGGGGACGAUAGUGACGGUACCCAAGGAGGAAGCCACGGCUAACUACGUGCCAGCCGCCGCCGUAA
This 476-nucleotide ribosomal RNA is filed under the name uncultured bacterium. Its description in RNAcentral is "partial 16S ribosomal RNA". It matches the Rfam family "Bacterial small subunit ribosomal RNA", at positions 28 to 523 of the family's 1533-position model. The record is from RNAcentral.